CUUGCUUCUUAAGUUAGUGGCGCACGGGUGAGUAAUAUAUAGCUAACCUGCCCUUUAGUGGGGGACAACAGUUGGAAACGACUGCUAAUACCCUAUACUCCUUCUUACUAUAAGGUAAGUUGGGAAAGAUUUAUCGCUAAAGGAUGGGGCUUUAUUGUAUCAGCUAGUUGGUGGGGUAAUGGCCUACCAAGGCUAUGACGCAUACCUGGUCUGAGAGGAUGAUCAGGCACACUGGAACUGAGACACGGUCCAGACUCCUACGGGAGGCAGCAGUGGGGAAUAUUACACAAUGGAGGAAACUCUGAUGCAGCAACGCCGCGUGGAGGAUGACGCAUUUCGGUGUGUAAACUCCUUUUAUAGGGGAAGAUAAUGACGGUACCCUAUGAAUAAGCACCGGCUAACUCCGUGCCAGCAGCCGCGGUAAUACGGAGGGUGCAAGCGUUACUCGGAAUCACUGGGCGUAAAGGAUGCGUAGGCUGGAAAUCAAGUCGAGAGUGAAAUCCAACGGCUCAACCGUUGAACUGCUCUCGAAACUGGUUACCUAGAAUAUGGGAGAGGUAGAUGGAAUUAGUGGUGUAGGGGUAAAAUCCGUAGAUAUCACUAGGAAUACCGAUUGCGAAGGCGAUCUACUGGAACAUUA
RNAcentral lists this ribosomal RNA (640 nucleotides) under uncultured bacterium. RNAcentral's name for it is "bacterial SSU rRNA". It matches the Rfam family "Bacterial small subunit ribosomal RNA", at positions 79 to 739 of the family's 1533-position model. The record is from RNAcentral.